AGCUCAGUGGCAGAGCACUUGCCUAGGAUGCAUGAAUCUCUGGGUUCAAUCCCCAG
This 56-nucleotide transfer RNA is filed under the name Heterocephalus glaber (naked mole-rat). It matches the Rfam family "tRNA", at positions 9 to 63 of the family's 71-position model. Rfam says of the family: Transfer RNA (tRNA) molecules are approximately 80 nucleotides in length. Their secondary structure includes four short double-helical elements and three loops (D, anti-codon, and T loops). Lineage: Eukaryota; Metazoa; Chordata; Mammalia; Rodentia; Bathyergidae. The record is from Rfam by way of RNAcentral.